Xiphophorus maculatus (southern platyfish) is the source of this 523-nucleotide long non-coding RNA. RefSeq lists it as uncharacterized. Lineage: Eukaryota; Metazoa; Chordata; Actinopteri; Cyprinodontiformes; Poeciliidae. The transcript is spliced from 2 exons. The record is from RefSeq and is a predicted model, not a curated record.
CUUUAAGAGCAUUCAGGUUUUUGAAUAUGGCCCAAAAUGAAAAUGAGUUUGACAUAAGGCUGAGGUUUCUGGGGACGAGUGUAAAUACCAACACACUUGUGGAGUCAGCUGCCACCUGACAGAAGACGGCAGAAGACACCAGAGGUCGAUCCCAGGAAUGGACGAUGACGGAAACUCAAACUGUGGAAGGAGAGCGGACACAAGGUUGUUUUUUUUGUGUUGAGAGACAUCGUGUGAAGAACGGCGAGCCAGGAUCCAAAAGAGCAGAUUGAGAUUGUGUCCACUACGACGUCAAAGAAUAACGUUCUUCUGUUCCACUUGAUCGGUGGGAUUGCACAUAUUAACACUACCCGGGUAGCUACCAUAUAACAUUCAGAUCUGAAAACUGAAUUGAACUGAAAAAAAAGAAAGGAAAAACUUUUGAACUCGACUGACUUGACUUAGGACUACCAAAAGGAAACAUUGACUAUUUUGUUCUGUUUCAUUAUUGUCAAAUUGUGUAAUAAAUGUGUUUUGUUCAACA